Molecule: long non-coding RNA, 375 nt
Organism: Diorhabda carinulata
Lineage: Eukaryota; Metazoa; Arthropoda; Insecta; Coleoptera; Chrysomelidae
Exons: 2
Source: RefSeq, a predicted model, not a curated record
CGAUUGAGACCAGUGCUAGUAAUUCGAUUAUUUGUUUGUGUUAAGACAUCUAAAUCCGAAAAUAUGAGUUUCGAUCUCAAAUUUAUUUUCCUUCUAAGUCUCUUUGUGCUUGCCGUAAGAAGCGAGGAGGAGGCUCCGAAAUGUACAGGAAGACAAGAGUACUUCCCUAGUACUUCCGAUUGUACUAAAUACUGGCAAUGUACUCCUACUGGUCAACCAAUUUUACGUGAAUGUCCGGAUGGGCUUGUGUUCGACACACUUAAUACUAUGUGCAAUCAUCGAAACGUUGCUGGUUGUAAAACGAAUUAAUCCAAAUCAAUGUAUCAAAUGCUUUUCUUGAAAAAAUGUAUCUAUAUAAAUAAAAGUUAGCAUGCA